CCCAGGAUAUCUAGUGAGAUUGUCACCUUAUCCGUUUUUCUUUUUCUCCGUUACCAAGUUGAACAUAAUCACAUAAAUAAUAAACAUGCACUCAGUAAUACAAUCAUAUCUUAAAUUCUAAAAUCACACAAUGGUCAAGUAAGACAGUAACACAUGUAUUUAAAACCAUAAAAUAGAUAGACCAGAUAGCAUAAUACAUUUAAACUGUAAAAUAAAUCAAGCAGGAAUCGACAGAGAAUAAUGUCC
RNAcentral lists this long non-coding RNA (246 nucleotides) under Carica papaya (papaya). Its description in RNAcentral is "long non-coding RNA (CPAP_LNC007822)". The record is from RNAcentral. Lineage: Eukaryota; Viridiplantae; Streptophyta; Magnoliopsida; Brassicales; Caricaceae.